Molecule: transfer RNA, 66 nt
Filed under: Apotamonautes hainanensis
Lineage: Eukaryota; Metazoa; Arthropoda; Malacostraca; Decapoda; Potamidae
Description: tRNA-Ser
Source: RNAcentral
AAUAUUUGUGUAAAUAAAAGAAACUUCUAAUUUCCUAUAAAGCGGUUAAAUUCCGUUUAUAUUCUA